AAUCAACGCUGGCGGCGCGCUUAACACAUGCAAGUCGCACGAGAAAGUGGAGCAAUCCAUGAGUACAGUGGCGUACGGGUGAGUAACACGUGGGUAAUCUACCUCUUAGUGGGAUAACUCUGGGAACCGGAGCUAAUACCGCAUAAGCCUGGAAAGGGAAAGACAGCAAUGCGCUGAGAGAGGAGCCCGCGGCCGAUUAGCUAGUUGGUAGGGU
This 214-nucleotide ribosomal RNA is filed under the name uncultured bacterium. RNAcentral describes it as "partial 16S ribosomal RNA". It matches the Rfam family "Bacterial small subunit ribosomal RNA", at positions 32 to 258 of the family's 1533-position model. The record is from RNAcentral.